This is an RNA transcript of Zingiber officinale, 1187 nucleotides long. RefSeq lists it as uncharacterized. NCBI's taxonomy places the organism in Eukaryota, Viridiplantae, Streptophyta, Magnoliopsida, Zingiberales, Zingiberaceae. The record is from RefSeq and is a predicted model, not a curated record. The transcript is spliced from 7 exons.
AAAGAAUUCAAAAAUUGACGAAGAAUAUCAGAAGGCGAUCUAGGGGACAAGAAUCAAAUAAAAGGUGUGACGAUGAAGUUGAAUAACAAGACACAACAUCACAUUCACCAUCAGAAACCCAAAAUAAUGCACUAGCAUCACAACAACAUGAUGAGGAGUUCCAUGAGGAAGUGUUGCCUUCGCAGAGGCAGCCGAAUAGACGUGGGAGGACUGUAAUGAAGGAUGUUCAUGCAUUGCAUCACGAUGAUUUGCUACAUGUCACAUUUAAUGAAAGAGGCCAGCCUUAUGGUGAUUUACAACCGGUACUAGCAAAUUAUGUGGGAACAAUAGCUCGGAAUGGAGUUUUGUUAACCCUUGAUUAUUUAGACUGGCGAAAAAUUCCAAAGCAUCGGUUGGAGGAGGCAUGGAAACUUGUUAUUACACGAUUCAUAAUCUCCGAUCAACACCAAGAUUUUGUGAUGCAAAUGAUGGGAGCUACAUGGAGGCGAUGGAGGACCCAAGUUAAAGCUACGUCUUAUGACUCGAAUAUCCCAUUAAGGGACCUUGUGUCCAUUCGUCCUAUUCCUCAUGGCCUGGCUACAGAAGUCUGGGAAAGAUUAUGUGAGCACUGGAAGGUUACUGAGAAAAGUUCAAAAAUAAAUCGAGAAAAUGGAAAAAAUAAAAAAAGAACUCAUGCACAGGGACGAAUAAGUAUUGCUUCUUUGGAAGAUAAAUUUUUGAAAGACAAUGGUAGGAAGCCGACUCGCAUCGAAAUAAUGCAUUUGAUUCGAAGAAGUAAAAAAGAAAGGAGGUGCUCCAGUUGAUGCUGAAGCCAUACGCUAUGAGCAUUUGUUGGAUGAGGCUGUGCAAAUUCGCCUACAAGACAUGCCUGAGUGAACACAAGCAAUAGAAGUGCAUGAGGAUGCAUUUCGUGAUGUAUUCGGAACUGAGCAUUCUGGUCGAGUUCGAUGUCUAGGAGCAGGAGCACUGCCUAGCCAAGUCUUCCCUGAACAAUGCAAACGUAGCUCAUUCUACAAUAGGCAAAACUAUCACUCCACUACGGAUAUCAUAGAUAAAUUCAAAGCAAUGCAAGAACAAAUGAACAAAGAUAUGGAGAUGCGUGAAUCACAAUUGCGAGCAGAAAUGGAGGCGCAAAAAGCACAAUUUCAAACAAAAAUGGAGCAAAUGAGACAAAUGCAAGAUCAGUU